AGAUGCGGACGAAGCCUGGGAUGACUCGAAGGAGGACGGGGGGAAAGUGCAGUCGUAAAAAAUGGUAGUGUUACGGCUUCGGGUGUAAUAGUAGGAGCCACGGCAUAGACAGUGUCCGUCGUUUUUCACUGGCAUCUUGUAAUCAAGGAUGCCGACAAAGUGAAAGAUUGUCGUCAUGUGGCCGGAUAGCAGAGUUACCUGAUCCACGGAACGCGCGGUCCAAAGGUGUGUAUGUCCACCGUUCGCCGGCAGGUGUUACACUUGACGUAACAACACCAGUGAAACUUACAGCUGCA
This is a long non-coding RNA of Acanthaster planci (crown-of-thorns starfish), 296 nucleotides long. Lineage: Eukaryota; Metazoa; Echinodermata; Asteroidea; Valvatida; Acanthasteridae. The record is from RefSeq and is a predicted model, not a curated record.